UUUUUUUUUUUGCUUUCACAUAUUUAAUUUAUGUUAAAUACAAAACCUACCAGUUUCCCUUUCAUAAAAAUAUUAGUGCAACACUUUUUGAAUUUUACUUACAAACAUUUAUGUAUUUAACAUAAAUUAAAUGAUUCAGAGUGAAAUGCCCAUAAAGAGCAGAAUAUUUGUUCAUGUAAUGGAGGAAACCCACAAAGAGUUGGUACUUUAUGGGCCAUUUCUUUUUUAAAAAAAAUUUAAUUUAUGUUGAAAAGAUAACCUGCCAGUUUUCGUUUUGUAAGAAAUCAGUGUAACACUUUUUGAAUUUUACUUACAAACAUUUAUAAAUUUAUCAUAAAUUAUAUGUUUGAGAGUAAAAUGCCCAUAAAAAGUUGGUACUUUGAAUAGAUAAUGCUCAGUUGCCCAUAAACUACACUCCCUGAAGGCUAUUUUGUUAAUUACUUUGUAGUACUUUGUUAUUCCUUUGCUAAUACUACUUGGCAUGUAGUACAAAGGAUAAAUCUGGCAUAAAUUUCUUAUUCCAUUGAUAAAAAGACCUGCGUGCCUUAUAACUAUUGUAAUGAAAGAUAUAUCUUUAGAGUUUAUAACAAAUUAUUACUUAAGUUUGAGAAAAUUAUAAAAUAUUUAUGCAUAGUUUAUCAAGAUACCAUUCGCAAUUUCCUAAUAAAAAAAUAGGGGCUAAAUUGUAAAAGCUAGGGUGCCAUAAUAGAAAUAAUAAAAUUGGUGUAUUACAUAUGGGGGUUAAAUUGCAAAAGUUAGAGUGUCAUAGUAGAAUUAAUGAAAUUGGUGAAUUACAUAUGGGGCUAAAUUACAAAAGUUAGGGAGUAAUAAUAGAAUUAAAGAAAUCGGUGUACUACAUAUGGGGCUAAAUUGUAAAAGUUAAGAUAUCAUAAUGGAAUUAAUGGAAUUUUUUACAACAUUUGGGGCUAAAUCGUAAAAGUUAGGGUGGCACAGUAGAAUUAAUGAAAGUGACUUAGAAAUAAGUACUUUAAACAGUGACGAUUAAUUCUUGUCACUAAAUCCGAAUCGGUAGAGUGACAGUGACGAUAUUAGAAGUUGUCACUAUAUAGAUCAUUUUAGUGACAACGUUUUUCAAGGUCGCCACUGAAGACUUAGUUGUUUUGAGCAAUUAUGACAACUUUCCUUGUCGUCACUAAACAACCACGUUUUGUGACGACUUUUGUCAUCACUAACAACUGUUGUCACUAAUAACCAUAUUUCUUGCAGUGUAGUUUGUGAUGAAAAUAACGGGUCGUCACUAAACAUUUAGUUGCUUUGAUGCAAUUGUGACAACUUUAGGUGUCGCGACUAAAGAAUCUCCUUUUGUGACGACUUAUUAUCAUCACUACAAAAUGUUGUCACUAAUAACUUUUUUUUUAAUGAUCAGUGACGAUAACAAAAAGUCGUCCGUAAAUAGGCAAAGCAAUAGUGAUGAUGUUCUUAAUGUCGUCACUAUUGUGUGUUCUAAACACUCCCGCGCUCUUGCUAAAUCUUGGCGGGAAUUUACUAAAAAGUCGUCACAAAUGAGUUGGCUCCCAUUAGAGGUUUGUAACGAGUUAGAAAGUCGUCAAUAAAGGAUCCACUUUUGUGACAACUUUUUUUCGUCACAGAGAAAAGUUGUCACUGAUGACCAAUUUUCUUUUAGUGCCAGAGCAACUCUGGACACGUUUUCCAGCCAUGAAGAAAUUUCGAAAUCGAAAUAUUUACCCAACCAAAUCAAGUGAUUUUUGGUGGAAACUUUCCACACAACCUAUACAACAUAUCUACAUCAAAAUCAAGACAAUUUGACACAAAAAAAUCACACCAAGAGGUGUGGCAAGGACAGGGCAGAUUCGGCCCUUCUUCAAAACUAAGAUGAUCUCCAAGUUAUUUGCAAGGUGUGGUAGGAAUUUGAAGUGAAAUGAGCAAGAGAUGAAGUAAGAUGAUGAAGAGCUUUGGUCUUCUUCCUCCUAGGGUGUUUCGGCUGCUAUGAAAGAGAAAGGAGAGAGUGUUUUGCUGAGGGUGAAGCUUCCUUGAGAAGCUUAAGAGUUUGUGGCCAAAAUUACUCCAAAAGUCAACUAAGAAUAGUGCGCGUACGCACACGUUUCGUGCUCGUUUUCUCUCGAGUUUGUUUCACUUGUGCACUAAACCUCUAAUGCACUUCCAUUCAUACUAUUAUUAUUCACUCUUAAUAGUCUAAAAAUAAAGGUUUUCAGUCCCUCAAUUAAUCGGGCGCGCGAAAAUGCGAACUUCCGAUUUGUGCGCGAUAGAGUGAAAUUUCUAAAAAAUUCUCACAACGAUAGUAAUACUAACUAAUACUAGAGUAUUUAAACAUAAAAAUAACUAUUUUAAAACUAAUGCAUGAGUCUUCAAUCUCCAAUCUCACUGUACCCUCAAAUCGAUUAUUACCUCCACACGCGCAUUCACUAUUUUCACUAAUGAGCUUCCAAAAAAUUAAAUUUUGUAACAAGUCAUUUUAAAAAUACAUGUAAGCCAUAGUUCCAUUUAAUUGAGUCUGAGAAGGUUGGAAUAAAAUAUUCGGAGCAAACGACCAAUUAAAUAUUUAAAUAAGCUAGUAAUAGGAGUUUAAAAUAGGUAAAUUUGCGAGUCCUCAAAUCUUCUUCCCCUUAAGAAAAUUUCGUCCUCAAAAUUAUACCUUGAUUGGUGAACAGGUUUGGAUAUUUUCCUCGAAUAGCUUUUUCAACUUCCCAGGUUGCUUCCUCUAACCCAUGGUUCCUCCAAACAACUUUUACCAAUGGAAUUCGUCUGUUCCUCAGUUCUUUCACCUUACGAUCCAGAAGCUUUACCGGUUUCUCCUCAUAAGUCAGCAUCUCAUCAAUUUCAAUACUUUCCGGUUACAAGAUAUGAGAAGGGUUUGGAUAAUAUUUCUUAAGUAUGGACACGUGAAAAAUAUUAUGAAUCCGAGACAGACUCGAUGGCAGUUCCAACCUAUAUGCUACAUUUCCCGCGCGUUGGAUAACCUUAUAAGGUCCUACAAACCUCGGUUGUAACUUCUUUCCUUUUUUCGACAUUAAAUUUGCUUUCAGAGGUGUAAUCUUAAGAAAUAUUUGAUCUCCAACCGCAAAUUCUAAGUCCUUCCUUCGGUUAUCUGCAUAACUCUUCUAACGACUUUCUGCGGUCAGAAUCCUCUGGCGUACCAAUUUCACUUUUUCAUUCCCCUCCUCAAUCCAAGACACUGUAGUUGGGUCUAAAAUUUUUCAUUCACCUAUUUCAUCCCAACAAAUUGGAGAUCUACACUUCCGACCAUAAAAUGUUUCGUACGGAAUCAUUUGAAUAGAAAAGUGGAAGCUAUUAUUAUAGGCAAAUUCUACCAAUGUCAAAAAUUUACUCUAACUCUUCCCAAAAUCCAAAACGCAAGUCCUCAACAUGUCCUCAAGGGUUUGAAUCGUCCUCUCAGAUUGUCCAUCGGUUUGGGGAUGGUAAGUAGUACUGAAAUUCAAUUUAGUCCCCAACACUUCCUGUAUCUUUUGCAGAACCUCGAAACAAAUCUUGGGUCUCUAUUGAACACAAUACUUACAGUUAUUCCAUAUAACCUGAUAAUCUUAUUCAAGUAUAAUUAGCUAACUUUUCUAAUGGGUACUUCAUAUUAAUCGGGAAAAAAUGAGUCGAUUUGGUCAAUCUAUCCACUAUUACCCAAAUGGCAUCAUGGUCUCAAAAUCCAAAACGCAAGUCCUCAACAUGUCCUCAAGGGUUUGAAUCGUCCUCUCAGAUUGUCCAUCGGUUUGGGGAUGGUAAGUAGUACUGAAACUCAAUUUAGUCCCCAACAUUUCUUGUAUCUUUUGCAGAACCUCGAAACAAAUCUUGGGUCUCUAUUGAACACAAUACUUACAGUUAUUCCAUAUAACCUGAUAAUCUUAUUCAAGUAUAAUUAGCUAACUUUUCUAAUGGGUACUUCAUAUUAAUCGGGAAAAAAUGAGUCGAUUUGGUCAAUCUAUCCACUAUUAUCCAAAUGGCAUCAUGGUCUCUUUGUGUCCUAGGUAACCCUGAUACAAAAUCCAUGGUGAUGUUUUCUCAUUUCCAUUCAGGUAUCUCCAAAGGUUGCAAAAGUCUUGAUGGUUUCUGAUGUUCAGCCUUAACCUGUUGACAAACUAAACAGGUCUGGACAAAUUGGGCAAUCUCCUUUUUCAUACUUUCCCACCAGUACAAAUUUCUCAAUUCUUGGUAUAUUUUAUUCCCUCCAGGGUGUACCGUAAACUUCGAUCGGUGUGUCUCUUCUAAAAUUUCUCUUUUAAACUCUUCAUCCUUCGGCACUACUAUCCGAUUCUGAAACCUCAAUAUGCCAUUCAUUCCCAAAUUAAAAUCCGAAUUUUCUCCCUUUUUAACUCUUUCCACCCACUUUUGCACUUCGGUGUCCUUCUCCUGGGCUUCUUUAAUACGUUCCAACAAAGUGGAAUUCACUACUAUAUUCCUAAGGAUCACUUUCCUUGGUUCCAAUCGAGGAUUCCAAUAACUAAUUUCUUCUAACAAGUGUAAUUUCUUAAUCAUCAAUCCGGCUACUUGCACUUGACGACUUAAAGCAUCAGCCACUACAUUGGCCUUCCCUGGAUAGUACUUUAUCGUGCAAUCAUAGUUUUCCAAAAAUUCCAUCCACCUACGUUGCCUCAAAUUCAGCUCCUUUUGAGAGAACAAAUAUUUAAAACUUUUGUGAUCAGUAAAAACCUCAAAUGUUACUCCAUACAGGUAAUGUCUACAUUUCUUUAAAGCAAACACUACCGCCGCUAAUUCCAAAUCACGAGUCGGAUAUUUCCUUCAUGCGGUUUCAAUUUCCUAGAUGCAUAUGCUAUCACUUUAUCAUUUUGCAUUAAUACACAUUCCAAACCUUCCUUGGAAGCAUCUGUGUAGACCACAAAACUAUCCUUCCCAUUCAGUAGAACUAACACAGGCGCUCUUGUCAAACGUUUUUUCAACUCUUGGAAACUCUCUUCACACUUAGGGCUCCACAUAAACUUUCCACUUUUUUUGGUCAACUCAGUCAUGGGUCCAGCAAUUCUAGAAAAAUUCUUAAUGAAUCUUCGGUAAUACCCUACUAACCCUAUAAAACUUCGAACCUCAAUAGGGUUUUUCGAUCGUUUCCACUUUGAAGCAAAUUCAUCUUUAACUGGAUCCACUUUAAUCCCAUCCUUAGAAAUUAUGUGUCCCAAGAAUGUUACUCCCUUCAACCAAAACUCACACUUGCUAAAUUUAGCAUACAAUUAAUGUUUUCUCAGGGUUUGUAAAACAAUUCUCAAGUGCCUCUCGUGAUUCUCCACAUUCUUAGAGUACACCAAAAUAUCAUCAAUAAAGAUCUCCAUAAAUUGGUCUAGAUAAGGUUUAAAGACCCUGUGCAUCAAAUCCAUAAAAGCAGCAGGUGCAUUGGUCAAUCCAAAGGGCAUUACUGCAAACUCAAAGUGUCCAUAUCUCGAGUUAAAAGUAGUCUUUGGUAUAUCUUUCUCCAAAAUCCUCAAUUGAUAGUAAUCCUGUCUCAAAUCCAACUUCAAGAAUACUACCGCCCCUUGCAAUUGGGCAAACAAUUCAUCAAUGUGGGGCAACGGGUACAUAUUUUUAACGGUGACAUCAUUCAAACCUCGGUAAUCUAUGCACAACCUUAAACUCCCAUCUUUCUUCUUAACAAAUAAGACCGGGGCUCCCCACGGUGAAUCACUUUCUUUUAUAAAACUCCGUUCCAACAAGUCCUGCAAUUGUAACUUCAAUUCUUUCAACUCAGCUGGAGCUAUUUUAUAUGGCAUUUUAGAGAUGGGUGCUACUCCUGGAGUCACAUCAAUCUUAAAAGUUAUUUUCCUUUCCGGGGGUAAAGAGUCUAACUCUUCAGGAAGGACAUCUGGGUACUUUUUCACUACAGGCAUGUCCUCCAGAUUCACUUUAUCACUAGGGGUGUUGAUUAGAAAAAUCAAGUAUCCCUGAAAUCCUUCACUUAACAUUUUCCUAUCUCGAAUCCCUGAGAUAAGUGCAGAUGAAUCUAAUCUACCCCUUACAUCCAAUUUCAGGAUUGCCUCUCUCGGAAUACACAAUUCUACUAUUUUCGUCUUACAGUUCAACUGGGUAUUGUAACGGGCUAACCAGUCCAUUCCUAAGAUCACAUCAUAUCCCUUAAUCGCUAAGCCUAUCAAAUCGCCUAGUAGUUUCUGUUCUCCAACCCAGAUCUCACAAUCUCUGUAUACCAAGUUAGCGAUUAGACUUUGGUCCCCAGUAGGCAUCCUAACAUCCAAGUCAUAAGGUAACUUAAUUGGUUUCAAGUCUAUUCCACUCAUGAAAUUAGGAUUUACAAAAGAAUGAGUCGCACCUGGAUCAAUUAAAACCUAACUAAGUGAUGAAAAAUAGGAAUUGUACCUUCAACCACCUCAGUCGCAUCAGGAACCUGUUGAUGGUCCAGUGCAUAAACCCUAGCCGGCACCUUUGGUCAGCCCCUCCAGCACUAGCAUGCUUAGAAGUUGACUUUUCUGACCUUUGAGUGCUACCUCCUAUCUUCAUUUUAUUUGGACAGUUCGCGAGUUGGUACUCGGUACUACCACAAACCAAACACUUCCCAGACUUUCUCCAACAAUCAUUCUCAGAGUGGUUGGGUUUACCACAGUAUUCACAAGUGACUUGAGGGGUCAUGGCCGAACCACUAGAAGGCACUCCCCUAACUCGAACCGGCUCACUACGACCUCCUCUGGAUAAAACUCCCCUUGAAGCUCCAGGGGUCCUCACUCCUCCCAUUCCUCUUUCCAUUUUGGAAGGUUGUGUAUUCUUACUAGCCUGUCUGGAAGUGUGACUAGAAAAUUUCCUUUUUCUAUUGUGAAAGUCCUUAACUUACAUCCUCGCACUCUCAACCCUUUGCGCUUUCUCUAGAGUCUCAGUAAAUGUAGAGAUUUGGUCUACGGCCAAACCCUCCUGAAUUUUCACAUUAAGCCCCUGUACGAACCGUCUUAUCCUUUUCAGUUCAUUGAUCACCAAUUCAGGAGCGUACUUAGAAAGCUUAGUAAAUUUUCCUUCAUACUCUACUACACUAAAGGUUCCUUGUUUUAACUUGAUGAAUUCAUUCUCCCUCUUCUCUUGGAUUAAAGGUGAAAAAAAUUUCUCAUUAAAUUUUCUCGUGAAAUUCUCCCAAGUCCAAGGGGUUUGGGCUCUCUCCCACUUUUCCCUUAUCACAUCCCACCAAGCACGAGUCACUCCCUCAAAUUGAAAAACAGCAAAAUUCACUUGCCUAUCUUCGGUAUAGUCUAAGGCGGCGAAUAUGCUGGUCAUCCUCUCCAACCAAUUCUCCGCUACCUCAGGAUCAGGUUUACCAAUAAAUUUAGGCGGGUUAAAUUUCAAGAACCGCUCCAAGGCUCUAUCCAUCCCUCUAUCCUGUCCCUCAACUUGGUUAAGUGGUCCAGGACCUUGUCUUUCAACCAAACAUUCUAGGAUAUCAGUCAUCCUAUUAAUGACAGUAGCCACUUGAUUUCUCUCUAUAUUUUCUUGUCCCUGGGUCGGUCCAGUUGCCGAUCCCUGGUCAUCCCCAUGAGGUUAGGCCUGUCUAGUCCCUUACCUACGGACUCGACCACUCCUUCGCCCUUCCAUUAUCCUGGUUGUGCCUAGUGCAAGAAAUAAAUCAAUUAUGCGGGAAAAAUAUCGAAAAAAAAGAAUCAAUCAAAAAACAUUGAAAAUAACAAUAAUUUAUAUUCAUUAACACUUCAAAGUUCAUACAAUUAGCGAGUCAUGGGGGAGAUCACAAAAAUAUAGCAUGCAGGUGCCACAAGAAUACCUUUAGUCACAUACGACUAAAGUAAAAUCAAGUAACUCAAAAGUAGGCCACACAGUCAUACAAAAUACAAUGAUUUCAGCACUAGCAUCACCCCAGCUAAUUCUAACUAUACUAGGCAAAAGGGUCAAUCACUCUGGACCUAGUCCACAGUAGGGCUACCAGGCAGAAUCUCCUCCUCAGGAUCCUCCUCCUGAUCUGGACUCUGUAUAAUGUCCAUCACCUUAUCGACCAACCUACCAGUGUCUACUAGGAUCCCAGAAGCCCAAUCUCGGACCUCCUCACCUAACCUAGUAAGUCGAGCCCUAACCCUCUAGAGCUCAUCACGGGUGACCUCAGCCGUAGCCACCUCACCAGUUAGUAUCUCCUCAAGCUCAGCGAUUCUCUCACCCUGAUCACUAACCAUCAGUCUCAGCUCGUCUACUUCCUCAAAUAAAUCUUGGUAGGUGUUCACCAAUUGACGACGCUCGUCGUCCAGAGCUAGUACAAGGUGAUUCGGGUAGGCAAACGUCAACCUACACGAACAUCGAGGAUACCUGUUAGAGGGUGAAUAACGCACACGAGCUCCCCCACCUAGAGCUCGGUAAUAAAUAGGCCUAGGAGGCUCUAUAUGGCCGUUAACAUGGCCAUUCCCAUUAGCUGCGGGGGUCCCGUUCCCAUUCUCCAUCCCUGCAAAAUAAUCACACUUUUCGGGUUAUAAACUUAGUCACUAACUUGCUCAGAUAUCACUUAAGGUAUGACUAAAUCAUCCUAUCUCAAAUCUUAAGGAUAAGGUUUCUAGUAUAUCACCCAAAUAGAUCUCUAACCUAACGUUCUAAUACCAACUGUGACGCCCCCACUUCUCCCUAAGGCAAACCAAAGGGUAUCCGCGGAACGUCUGCUCUGCUCUCGCCAGGACUCAAGACAAUUCGAUUCAAGUUUAACGAUAUAUAACAAUUAAUGCAAGUCUAAUAAAGAAAAGUCGCUUCCAUAACCGAAUAUCCAAAUCUUACUCCCCCAGUUCAAAAUACAACAGUUAUCCAAUUCUUACAUCAAAUUUUUAAAAUAUACAAUAGCCAAAAUGUCUAGUCAGUUCCAUUGGAAAUCCUAAUACAAAAGUACAUCCAAAAGGGUUCCUCCGAAUCUCACUCCAUGUCCAUUCCUGUUAAGAAAAAUAAAUCUACGGGGUGAGCAAUUGCUCGUGAAGCCAAGAAACACACAUGCAGGAACGUUGUUCAAGUAACAAUCCCAAUUAACAGGAAAAAUGAUAAUAUUCGAGUAAUUAACAAUUCAAGUGAAAUGUAAACGAAAACAAUUCAAGGAUAUGUUAGCUCUUAGGAGCUAAUUUUCACUAGUUUUGCCAAUCUCAUUCGUAUACCUUCCUGUGAUGAUUCUCCGUCAACCGGGUCGAUAUUUUUCAAUCCGUAGAACUCUACUUACUUCUCAUGUCCAUCCACCGUACACCGCACCGGACCCGCACGUCAUUUAUAAGGCGAUACUCUACGAGUAUGCCAAGCGAGAUCUCUCCAAUAGGUCAAACUUAUCAUGUUAUUAUUCUCAUGACUCACUGAAGUUCCCGACCAAACAAGUGCCGGCUCGAGUUCCAAGGUCGGCCUAUAAGUUUGGGCGUCUCCCAUGUAACAUUUGUGAGUCGAGGAGUUCACUCCAACGACGUAUGCAGUCAUAGCAUACCAUUUCAUUUCAUUCAGUCAUUCAAUCAGUUGUUUCAUUUCAAUCAAGUCAUUCAUGAUUCAUUCAUUUCAUUUCAAUCAAUUCAAUCAUGAGUCAUUCAUUUCAAAUGAGAACGAGUGCGGUAAAGUACACACUCGACUCCAUUUUCAAAAUCUCCAAUCAUUAAUAACAGUUAAACAUGUAUCAAAUUCGCAUACACUUGACACUCACCAAUCAAAACAAAGAAGUAAUGCCCACUUGAGGGUUCAGGCGUCCACCGUGAGAUCCUCUUGAAGGUCCUCUUGAGUGCCUGAGCAAUUAAUAAUGAACUAUCACUUAGAAACCCCAAUUAUCACGGAAGAUUGUACACCUGUACAAUCUAGAAAAUAUCACGAAAAUGAGCCUUAAUUUUCUUGUAAAUCGAGACUCAAAAGUGGGGUUUAAAAACACAAGAAAAUUCUAAUUUUCGUCUUUAAAAUCAUUGGACGGAAACAAGUAGGUAUGAAAUCGUACAAAUCAUUUUUCAAACGAGCGAUCGAAGACGAACUUCGAAGAGCCACGUCACAAUCCGGUCGAGAAUUGGCCGGAUAUCCGGCCAGAUUGUGGGCCGGAUUCAAGGCAGUGAGGGAUCCAAAAUUUCCAACUUUCACUACCAAUCCGGCCAACUAUCCGGCCAGAUUCUUUGAAAACUUUCCCACGCGAAAAUUUUCUAAAUUGGUCAAGAAAUAUCGAAUUUGAGGGCAUUUUUUGAAAAAUCAUAACUCACUCUCUGAAAGUCCAAAAGUGAAAAACUUGAUACCGUUGGAAACAAAUUUUAGAGUACUAAAAGUUCCUAGAAGAUACUUUUCCAUGAUUCCAAAUGAAAGACAUUCAAAUUUCAGCUUCAAGUUGCUGUUUUGGAAUACGAAGACAGUUUCGAGGUUGGUUUUUGGCCAAUUUUGGAAAUUCGACAAAAUUCACAGAAUGUGAACUAGCCUCUAAAAUUUGAAACUCUAUUAGAGUUACAAUCAAAGUUUAAAACACAAUAAGCAGAACAAGAAUCGGAGUUUUGAGCACCAAGAUAUAGCAGUUCAAAGUUGCUGAAAUUUUCUCACUGAACAAGGGUUUUCUAGAUUUAAAGCAUGAACUUUAAGACUUUGGUUGAGCAUCGAAAUGGACUUAGAAUGGCACCAAAUUUGGUAAUAUUACCCUACCAUAUAAGGGUUAUUCUUCUGUCAAAUUUCAUGCAAAAAUUCGCACGGAAGGUCAGUUAACAAAGCCACUAAAGUUCCAAGAAUUUUCAAGGCAAAUCUGCCUUGCACUUCAGUUUUCCUUUUCUAACUUUUGGCCCAAUGGAAUCGACUUAAAUCUGGUUCAUUUAUUAAGACAAGGUCUAAGAAACAUCCAAAAUAUAUUUGGUAGGUGGUUAACGCCAAGAAUUUCAAAAUAACAAGUCCCAAUUCAAAUUAAGGCAUUCAACUAGCAAAAAAGAGGGUUUUCCAUCACUAAGAUAGUUUCGUAAUUCGGCCACAACUCACUCAAUUCAACUUGGAAUUGAGCGUGGUUGAUGGCUAUGGAAACUACAUUCAUAAGGCUACAAUUUCACAGAAGGAAUCAUUUUAAAAUUCUGUCCAUAACUGGCUCAUAUUCAAGCAUUAAUUCACAGUACUUAACAGACUCUCUAACACAUCCGAGAAACAGGACAGGUAAAUUUGAAAGGCUGGUACGGUUCACUCAAGUGGAAUCAGGGGAUGUAUUUUAUACCGUUAGAAAACUGGAAGUAUCUAGUUUCUAAUACUACAAACAGCACUCGAUUUUGACAUUGCAGUAAAAAGUUAUUGUCAUUUGAAAUUCACUGCCAGAGCAACUCUGGACACGUUUUCCAGCCAUGAAGAAAUUUCGAAAUCCAAACAUUUACCCAACCAAAUCAAGUGAUUUUUGGUGAAAACUUUCCACACAACCUAUACAACAUAUCUACAUCAAAAUCAAGACAAUUUGACUACAAAAAAAUUGCACCAAGAGGCGCGGCAAGGACAGGGCAUAUUCGGCACUCUUUCACAGUUGAGAAACAGAAUAGGUGACUUUCAUAUUAAGAGUGAAAAAUUGCACUUCCUUUGAUUUUCUUUUCACUCUUUCAACUUAAAUCCACUAGAUUAACACUUAAUCAACACAAAUAACAUCCAAACUCAUCAAAUCAGAUCAUCAAGUCCAUUGUGGGAUUUCAUAGAGCCCACUCACAUGAUUUUCAACAAUCCAAAGCUACGCACAUGAAGCUACAAGCUUCUAAGUGUAAUCUAACUUACAAAAGCUAAGAUUCAAGGGUUGGAUGAUUAGCUAACUUCUUAGAUGAUAAACUCAGAAAUUUUCGGUCCUUUGAGCUCCAAGAAAACCAUGAGAAUGAAGCUCCUCUCCUAGCCCAAGAUGAUCUCCAAGUUAUUUGCAAGGUGUGGUAGGAAUUUGAAGUGAAAUGAGCAAGAGAUGAAGUAAGAUGAUGAAGAGCUUUGGUCUUCUUCCUCCUAUAGUGUUUCGGCUGCUAUGAGAGAGAAAGCAGAGAGUGUUUUGUUGAUGGUGAAGCUUCCUUGAGAAACUUAAGAGUUUGUGGCCAAAAUUACUCCAAAAGUCAACUAGGAAUAGUGCGCGUACGCGCGCGUUUCCUCUCGGGUUUUAAAAAUAGUCUAAAAAUAGUCCAUCCAUACUAUUAUUAUUCACUCUUAAUAGUCUAAAAAUAAAGGUUUUAAAUCCCUCAAUUAAUCGCGCGCGCGAAAACGCGAACUUCCGAUUUGUGCGCGAUAGAAUGAAAUUUCUAAGAAAUUCUCACAACGAUAGUAUUACUAACUAAAACUAGAGUAUUUAAACAUAAAAAUAACUAUUUUAAAACUAAUGUAUGAGUCUUCAAUCUCCAAGCUCACUGUACCCUCAAAUCGAUUAUUACCUCCACACGCGCAUUCACUAUUUUCACUAACGAGCUUCCCAAAAAUUAAAUUUUGUAACAAGUCAUUUUAAAAAUACAUGUAAGCCAUAGUUCCAUGUAAUUGGGUCUAAGAAGGUUGGAAUAAAAUAUUCGGAGCAAACGACCAAUAAAUAUUUAAAUAAGCUAGUAAUAGGAGUUUAAAAUAGGUAAAUUUGCGAGUCCUCACAGCAUCACUUUUCAAUUUAUCUUUUUUCGCCUUGGAUUAUCCAGUAGGAAAUUUCUCAGUGACUAAAUAGUUAACAAUAUUUGGAUACUAAGGAGGGGGUGAUUUAAUAGAAAAUAGUUGCUUUUCAAUAAACGACUCCUUCAAUGGAAUAUCCUCUUCAAUGACCGGUAUGCGACUCAAAUGAUCAGCCACCAAGUUUUUUGCUCCUUUCUUAUCUUUUAUUUCCAAGUCGAACUCUUGUAACAGUAGAAUCCAUCUUAUCAGCCUUAAUUUGGCCUCCUUUUUCAUCAGCAAAUACCGCAACGCUGCAUGGUUAGAAUAAAUAAUUACUUUAACUCCUAACAAAUAAGGUCUAAAUUUUUCUAAAACAAAAACGACAGCUAGAAGCUCUUUUCUAUGGUAGAGUAGUUGAGUUGAGCUCUAUUCAAAGCUCUUGAAGCAUAAUAAAUUGCGUGAACAGCUUUUCCCACUCUCUGAUCCAAUACCGCCCCCACUGCAUAAUCCCUAGCGUCACACAUGAUCUCAAACGGGAGAUCCCAGUUUGGAGGUUGAAUAAUGGGUGGAGUAGUUAAGUGCUCUUUCAACCUAUUAAAUGCCAAUUUGCAUUCGUCAUCGAACACAAAUGCCACGUCCUUUUGUAGGAGUCGGAACAGUGGUGCUCCAAUUUUGGAGAAAUCUUCGAUAAAAAUCUACAUGUCCCAAAAAAGAAUGCAUUUCCUGCACACUUGCGGGUUAAGGUAAAGAAGAUACAAGAUCUAUCUUGAUUUUUUCGACUUCUAUGCCCCUAAAUGACACGACAUGACCUAAAACUAUUCAUUGCUCAACCAUAAACUGACACUUCUCCCAAUUGAGUGCUAGAUUAGUUUCGAUGCAUCUAUUCAAAAUUAAAAUCAAAUUAUCGAGGCAAUCAUCAAAAUUAUCUCCAUACACACUAAAAUCAUCCAUGAACACCUCGGUUAUCUUUUCUACAUUCUCAAAGAAGAUACUCACUAUGCAUCUUAGAAACGUGACGGGAGCGUUACAUAGCCCAAAAGGCAUCUUUCGAUAAGCAAAGGUAUCAAAUGAGCAUGUAAAUGUUGCCUUCUCAUGAUCCUCUGGCGCUAUCACUAUUUAGAAGUAACUUGAAAAAUCAUCUCAAAAGCAAUAAUAAGCACACACAGACCAAUCUUUCUAUCAUUUGAUCUAUAAAGGGAAGGAAAAAAUUGUCUUUUUUGGUUACCGCAUUUAGCUUAUGGUAAUCGAUGCACUAGUGUCAACCCGUUGGUUCAUAAAUUGGAACGAACUCCCCCUCAUGGUUCGCCUCCAUCGUCACUCCCUCCUUCUUGGAGACCACUUGAACCGAACUCACCCACUGGCUGUCGGAGAUGGCGAAAAUUAUGCCUACAUCUAGGAGUUUGAAUAUCUCUUUCUUCACCACUUCUAUCAUCAUUGGGUGCAGUCGUCUUUAAGGUUGCCUGACAAGCGUCGCAUCAUUUUCUAGCCUAAUCCGGUGCAUAUACGCAGAUUGACUGAUUUCUUUUAUAUCGGCAAUGAUCCAUCCAAUGGCUUCCUUAUAGUCCUUAAGCACCCGGAUCAACUUAUCUUCUUGACUAGGUAAUAAUCUUGCAGAGAUUAUCACAGGUAAUGUCUCCUCAUUACCCAAAUACGCGUACUUCAAAUGACUCGACAGAGGCUUUAACUUCACCUCAGGUGCCUGCACAACAUAAGGUAAUAGCUUUUGGUGUGUCUCAGGCACAAAAAUAUAAGCAAGCCCAUACCUUACUGAAGUAGACAUCAAUAGCUGCAAUACCUCAACCACACACUGCAACUCGUCAUUCAACUCCACGUCACAAAUUGUUUCCAACUUGAGGUGUUUGGUCAGGGUCACUUCUAACUCAUCCCUGCCAUUAAGUUCAAACACUUCCUGCAUUAUAGGGUCAAUCACACUCACCGAAAAAAUAGAAUUAGACUCAUGUAGGUAUUUCAACGCAUCAAAAAUAUUAAAGUGAGCAACUUUUCCAUCAAAUUCCAUUGUUAGUGAACUCUUAUUAACAUCAAUUUUGGUACUAGCAGUACUUAAGAAAGGUCGACCUAACAAAAUAAGGAAUGGAUUUGGGGAGUGUUCGUCACCCUAUCUAAUACAUAGAAAUCAGCAGGAAAACUAACUCAUUGAUUUGUACUAGAACAUCUUCAAUUAGCCACUCAGGUUAGGCGUUAGUGCGAUUAGCUAAUUGAAUUAUAAUGCCAGUUUCUUUUAGUGGUGCUAAAUUUAAAGAAGCAUAGAUGGCAUUUGGCAUCACAUUUAUAGAUGCUCCUAAAUUUAGCAUGGCAUUUCUAAUAUUAGUGUUUCCUAUCUUACAGGGGAUAGUGAAUAUAUCUGGAUCUCCACAUUUGGGUGAGAGUUUUCUUUGUAGCACUGUAGAUACAUUCUCCCCUACCACUAUUCUCUCAUCUCCCUUCAACUUUCUCCUGUUGAUGCAUAAAUCCUUCAAAAAUCUGGUAUAUUUUGGCACUUACUUGAUUGCAUCCAAUAGAGGAAUAUUUAUUUCAACCUUUUUGAACAUCUCCAAGAUUUCUUUCUCCUUGUCUGGUUUCCUUGGUUUCUCCAACCUAUUAGGAAAAGGUGGAGUGUUAGAUUUAUUCUUAAUAACAGAAUUGAAAAUUACCUUCUUAGUGUUUAUAUUUGCCCCUCCUUCUUCCUUAAGUUCUUCUCAAUGUGCUCUUCGCUCUUAUCUUUGGGAAUCAUUAACUUAGGUCUUUUAAUCUCCUUCCAGCUCCUGAGGGUCAUGACACUUACAUUCCUUGGGUUAGCUUCAGGUUGAGACGGCAAUUUUUCAAAAACAUGAGAUUCCAGACGAUUGAUUGCGGUUGUCAUCUGACUCACAUGGGUUUCCAUAUUUUGUAUGCUUGACCUCGUCUCCUGUUGAAAUUGAGCAGCACUUGUGGCCAGACUUUUGACCACAUCUUCCAAAGAGCUUCCUGAAUUAGAAGAUAAAGGUUGAGACUUUGGCUGGUAUUGGGGUUGGAACCCUUGUUGUCUAUUUUGACCAAAGUUUUGCUAUCGGUUCCCACCAUAACUAAAGUUCGGGUGAUCCCUCCAACUAAGAUUGUAGGUGUUGGAAUAUGGAUCCUACUGUCUCCAUGGCGCGGGCAUGUUGCCAACUAUGCUGACUUGUUCAGCAUUUUCCUCUUGGAUCAUUUGGCACAUAUCAGUGGAGUGUCCUAUAUUGGUAUAGAUCCCGCACACCUUGGUUUGCUGCUCAUUUCCUACAGCCAAUUGUCGAACAAAAGAGGUCAUUUCAGAUAAUUGCUAUUUAAUUGAUGAAAUUUCUAUCUCAUUCACUCGACGAGUGGGAAGAGUAUCUCGGGAGUCAAAUUGUUGUGAAUUUUUCACCAUUCUCUCAAUCAACUCCCACGCCUCUCCAGGAGUUUUGUUCACCAGUGCUCCACCACUCGCAGCAUCAAUAAUAUUCCUGUCAGACAAGUAAAGACUUUCGUAAAAAUAUUGAAAAAUAAUUGUUCACUUAUAUGAUGUUGCGGGUAUCUCGUGCACAGUUUGUUGAAUCUCUCCCGGUACUCAUACAAGGUCUCCCUUAGUUGCUGCUUAACACCACAUAUUUCCUUUCUCAAGCUUGCAACUCGGGAGGCUGGGAAAUACUUCUUCAAGAACUUAUUUUUCAGUUGCGCCCAAGUUAUGAUACUACCUGCUGGUAGAUAGUAUAGCCAAUCUUUUGCUGAAUCUUUAAGAGAAAAGGGAAACUCCCUCAACUUUAUUAGUUUCUCAGUAACCCCAGGGGGCUUCAUACUCGAGCAUACUAUAUCAAAUUCUUGUAGAUGCUUGGGGGGCUCCUCACCUGAAAGACCAUGGAAAGAAAGUAAGAGGUGAAUUAAUCCAAAUUUUAAUUCAAAAUGAGUAUUUUCAUUUAAGUGCAAGAAAGUAAUACAUAGUGGCAGUUGAGUUAAAUCAGGAACAGCCGACUCCCUCAAUGUCCGAUUGUUGGCCAUAAUAAUUUCCUUCUCUUCAGAAUCACUCGAAUGAUCACUUGAAGAAUCCUCUGCGGAUGCAACAAGUGACUAUUCCUCUCUUUGUUCUCUAGUCUCCUUCCUUAGUUUAUGUGCUGUCUUUUCUAUUUCAGGAAUAUAUACCAAAUUUCCUGUACAAAAAGAAUGAGGCAUAAACUAGAAAAUAAAAAUGAACUCAAAAAGAAACAAAUUAAUCAAGCACUAAUCCCGGAUAACGGCGCCAAAAAUUGACAAGUCGUCGAACCUAUGCAAUAAUAAAACCUACAUAACAAAAAUAUAAAUUUUGUAUAUAGUGGUGAGUAGGGUCGAAUCCACAUGGAUUGGAGAUAAUUUAUUUCUUUCAGAGUCCAGAGUAUGGGGGGUUUUUAUAAAAUUGAGAAUAAUUAAACAACUCAAACUAAAAUAAAUGAACGCCUGGUUAAUAAAGCAAUCCACAAAAGUAGGAGGAAUUAAAUCGAUGGUAGACAAACUCCAGCCAAAGAUACAACCUGGCAGACAUAGUCCAUUCAUCCGAUCAUUGAUGCAAAGAUGGUUUGUUCAAUUCUUUAACAGGUGAGUUAUAGUCGUCAACAAACUCUAGCGACCAACCUUUCCUUAGCUUAUGGAUGACCAAGACCGUAGGAUUUAAUUUUCCAGUUGCAUUAAGAAUUAGAAAAGUUUAACCCUAAUCAAUAACACACUAAGAGGGUUAUUUAAAUUAGAUUGUACAUUCCCCUAACUUGUAUAAACGCUAGUUACCACUAAUAUUAAUCGACCAAACAAUUACGGAUUUAGUUGAUUAAUUUGACAAUAGAUUAUUAGGUCACUUCGAAUAUUGGGCUCUUGACAUUCAGUUAACAAAAUAAUCUCGAGAAAUUAAAAGAGAGAAUGCACAAAUAUCAAUAAAUUAAAGGAUUGAGUUGAGAUUAGUUCGAUCUCAUAGAUGUUCGGGACUGCGUCGUUGAGUUGGUCUUUGACUAGAUUAGAAACUGAGCCACACCUCAUAGAGAAAUUUCCACGCGUAUAAGUUGAAUUCCUUGACAUCAAAUCUUUUCCCCUCAUGAUGUAAUAAUCGUUCGAAUGAGAAAGUAAAGAGACUGAAGAAAAGCGGUCUGUUCCUCUCCUCCCUCUAUCAAGAACCAAAAGAAAGAUAAUAACCUAAUCUGUAUGACUAGCCGCUAGUCUAGUCAGUUUCCUAACCGAAUAAGGAAAACAAAAAGAUAAGGCAACUUCUGAGAUUUCCUUGUUUCUUGUUUCCUAAUACUAGUAAACUACUAGUCAACAAAAGGGAAAGAAUUGAUUUGAGCACAACUUAGAGCCAGAUUUGUCAAUUUCUUAGCAGCUUCCCACGUGCACAAUAUCCUGAGAAUCCGGUCUUUACAGCAUGUUAUCAAGAAAGCCUCCCUUUUUAGUAUUUUUCUGCUCCACAUCCUGUAAUUAGAUCCAAAUACCAAAUAUAAGUAUAAUCCAACAAUUAAAACAAUAUUUGGUAAGGAUCAAAGGGAAAUUAACCAUAAAUUUAAUAAUAAAUUACACCCUAUCAAACCCUAAAUCAUAUACGAUUGUAUUCUUGUGUUUGGCUACAUAAUGAAUUAUAUGUGACCUUCAUUUGAGAGAGGUCAAAGCGGCAACCUGUUUGAGAGAACUUAUCAGCUAUUGUGUGGAAGACCUCACUCUUUAGGUUGCCAUUGUUGAUUCUAUUAGCUCCCUUAAGUUCGAGCAAGUACUCUUCAAGGAAAAUUGGGCUCGGCCUAGCCUCGAUGAAUCAACUUGAUUUGCCAUUGGUUUUUUUCUUUGUUAUGACACAUGUAUUAGUAUAAGUUGGUAAAUGGCCUAAUCAUAGCUUGCCAAAGGAACCAUGCAUCUAGAUUCACCCCAUAUGUAACAAUUUUGGAACAAUUGGAAUGCAAUUGUGCAUAGGCUUUGUAAACAGCACAUAGUUGGAAAAAGAGUAAGAUAGGAUGCAUACCUUGAAGUAAUUGCUAAUGCAAAGCCAUGAGUCGUUCUCUCCACACUCGAAUCGGGCAGUGUGCAAAGGAUCAGCAAGUAUUAGUUUUCGAUCUGUGUAAAAAACUAAGGUAAUAAAUCAUCACUAACUUAAAAGGCCGACAUGCAUUAUAGCAGGUAAGAGGCAACAAUCGUAACCUCUAGAAAUGAACUAAGUGCAAGAAGGCAUAAACCUACCAAUAAAGAGUGUUUACUUCUAAGUCAAAAUACAGGGCAUAUUAUAUAUACAAUUCUCUAGUCGCAUGAAACUCAAUAAGGAAUUAACCAUUUGAAAUAGCUUUGUCUUCACCACAUUAAUAUAACCUUGCACAUAACAAUAGGAUGAAGCAAGUAUACACCCCUAUUCAAUACGACAUUCCCUCUAAAUUCAACAUCUUUGUGUUUUUAUUCAUUUAAUUGAAGUCAAACAGUGCAAAUUACAAGAGUGUUAUCAUUGAGCAAUUUUUACUCUAUAAUAUCAAGAUUUCACCUAAAAAUGUCUAAACUUGACCACAAAGAUUUUGUAUUUCAUUCCUCAUAUAUAGAAUAAAUUAAAAUACUGCACAGUCUUCUAAUUAUUUGAAUGCAAGGGAAAAGAAUUCAAUUCAUACAUAUGUAAUUACUUAAGCAUUUACGACUCAAUGAAUUAGUCCCUUGGAAAAUUGUUGAAAUAUACAAAAUUUUGGUAAGUAUUGGUUCGAAUCAAUUUUGGUAAGUUGUACAAUAUUCUCCCCUUUUUUCAUCGUGGGUACACAGAUUUACUUUGCUUAAUAGGCAGUCAAGAAUCCAAGCAUAUGGUAAGUGAAGAUAUUGUAUGUAUUGGCUUGAAAAGUGUAGAAUAUCCGGUUAGUUAAUGCUCUUAAUCCUGUUUUCACUCAAAAUAAGGACCUAAUGUUCCAAUAAAAGUUAACCACUUUCAAAAUAUCUUAUUCUCCAUUUCUUUAAAAUCAAAUGACGACUUCAUCCCUAAUAUUUUGCCUUCUCUUUCUCUUCAUCUUUGCAAUUGGUAACUCCUUUAGUACUUUUUUCGACUCUUGAACAAACAAACAAACGAAACAAUUGUUGUUGUAGAAUUACAAUGAAGGUAAAAUUUACCAACGAAGGCUAUUAUCAGUCCAUUAUAUUUAGGCUAUUUCAGAAAAUUGACACUCAAAUCAGUAAAGCAAUGAAGGCAAUCUUCAUCAUUUUGACCCGUAAGCAAUUUUUUUUUUAGAUAGAAUCAUAAAUUUGACCAAUCCCUCCAUUAAUUAUUAACUAAAUGGAGUAAUUCCCAAUCACAAAUUUUUUUCCUAAAAAUUAGGCAUAAUCGGUGAACUUUUAUGAGUAAGCCUAGUACUUCAUUUUGUAAAUUUUCCUCGGCCAAAGCAACUUGUAAGGUAUGUGAUAGUAUGGCUGCAAAUAUUUUAGUUCCUGUGAUUUUCACAAGCAAAGAUACAAAUUGCAACCAUGAAUUAUCGUUAAAGAUAGUCGAAAUUGGAAAAGAAUGCAACUAGUAAGGGGAGAUUUCACAAAUCUGGCACCUGAAAUUAGCUGGGCCUUCGCAACUAAAAGAAUGCAACUGGUAAGAAGAAGUUCCUGGUGUUGGAAUGUAUGCCCUAAAACAAUGAUUUUGUUUAAUACAUUUCUUAUUAUGUUUUAUAUUUUAAUAACUUCUUCUUUAUCUGUUAAAUGCUAGAUAUAACUGAUAAAGUCCUUAGAAUACUUACUAAUGUGAUGGUGGUCACAAGUGUUGAUGACUAUGAGAUAUCAAUUACAUUUAUAGUAAUAUUCUUAAAUUUUCCUAGUCAUAGUACUAAUAAAAUAGGACAUCAUUAGUAUGGAAAGACUACUACACAAUUAGUCUCUACUUAAUGUAAGUAGUGGUUGUUCUCAUCAACCAUGGUAUAUAGAUACCUAGAAUAAUGUGUAGAUGAUUUGUAAAGUACAAAUGCAUUGGAAUGAUCCCAUUAGGAUAUCUAUCUAGUGCCAAUGAUUGUAUCUCUUGUGGUAAGUUAUGUAAAUGAUCCGACGACUUGAGAUCACCAUAGUAUCUUGAGUGUGAAUCACUACAUUUUGACUCUAUUGCUUGUUACUCAUUAAGAGUGACUUAUAGAACAGAGAUUGGGUGUAGUGUGAAGCACGAAAAGGUAAUGAAUGAUCAAGAUAGGAUUCACCACUCCGAUAGUAGGAGUUGAUAUCCGGAUGGCCACUAAUAGGAAAUUUACCCUAAAAGGUCGACUACAUUAGGUCAAUUGAAGAAUAUCUUCAAGUUAACCUAAUCUAGAGUUAAUUCUAGAAACUAGUAAAUUUAAUUAGCCAUUAAGGAAUUGGCACUUAUUCCUUAUUCCUUGACUAAUUGGAUAUCAGUGGUGAAAGGAUAAUAAUUACAUGGUAACUUCUCAUGGAAAGGUUAGGUCAAAAUUCCCUUGACUAAUUCCGAGUACUUGGGUGGUCAUUAUGUGUUGCUAGACACCGCUCAUGAUUUAUAAUUAUGAAUUAAUUAAUUAUUGUAAUUAAUGAUAAAAUAAAGUUGUUUAUUUUAUCUAAUUCCUUUUGGGAAUUAUAAGUCAUAAUUAUUGCCAACGUAUUUGGAGCCUAUUGGAUCACACACAUUAGAGUUUUGAUUUUUGAUUAAAAUUAUGUGUCCAAGUGAAGACUUGAAAAUAAAGUAUAAGAUAUUUUCGGGAUUUAAUUACAAAGAAAAUAAAUUCCAGACCUAUUUGAAUAGAUAGGAGAAAAUAGUUAUCUCCUUUCUAUCAGAUAGCUGAAGGAUAGAGUUUGUUAUUGGAUAAAAAUCUAUCUCUUCCUUUUUCUUUUUUUCUACGAAUCUUCUCUCUAUUAGAACGAUGAAAAACCUAUGACUCUCGAAAAGGGAAAAAUAGGGUUUUGGCAUGCAUAGAGAGUGGAGGAAAAAAGGUGUGUAAGACAUACAUAGAGAGAAAAUAUAGACAAGGAAAAGUGAAAAGAAAGGCUGGUAACUUUCAUCACUUUCACACAUAUAUCGUAGAGACGAUUCAGAUAUCACUCUCACGUGGAUUUCGGUAGAUGCAGGACAUCUGGACUGCUCAAGGGGUUGUUCCUCUUCUCCAUUUUGGCAGAGGAACGUCACGCGGAUUAAGGUAAUCCGUUUUUCCCUUUCUUCUUGAACCAUACGCAAAAUCUAGGGUGAUCCUUGAGUGGGUUUUUGGGAAAUUUUUUUUUAAUUUUCGCUGUCUUUCUGUCCCAAAAACCUAACAGUGGUAUUAGAGCUAUCCCUAGUAUUUUUCGUAUGACUUUAUGUGUUUUUUUGUUCAUGGAUUGAUCUUGAUUGUUGGAUUUAAGAAUAUGCGAUAUUCUGGUUCAAAUUUUUGGUGAGUUUUGUGUCUUUUAUUAACCUAUAAAACCUGGAAAAAGUUUAAGUUUUUGAUGGUUAAAGAUUGCACCAAAAUUUGCUAUUAGUUCUUUGAUGCAUUAGCCAAAAAAUUCUUGAAUGACUUGGCAUGCUAUAAUCUGAUUAUAGCUUCAUUAUGGGUUUGAUUUUAUGGAGUUUUGCAGCUUCUUAGUAACCUUUAAAAUCUGGAAUAGUUGCAGGUUUCAUCAGUUCAUUAUCUAAUAGGAAAUUGAAAGAUUAAUCAUCACUUUGCUAGAUACUUGCUAUUCAAGCUGUCAAACGUGAUAGUCAGGCUUUCCUUUUCUUUUUAAGAUGAAACCAGACACUGAAUCUCUGUUGAUGAUCUGCAAGAGUUGCUAGUCUCUUAGUUUUUAUGAAAAGAAAAAAAAUUGCAGCCAAAGUGCAGCAAUUUUACUACUGCAAUCUCUUGACUGUUGCAGCAAAACAUUGCUACCGGCGAUCUUUCAAGAGCUGCCACCAGCUGCCCCUGCUAUGUGAGGCCAUGGGAGGCUUCCUUGGUGGUGGUGGGAGGUUGCCAUAGCUCUUGGUGGUUACUGGGUAAGCAAAUCAAGAGUUUUAAGGCGCAAGAAUGCAUCAAAAGUGCAACAAGUUGCAGCAGCAACCUAUGCAAAAAAAAAUGCAGCAGGUCGCUGCAGUGGCUGAGAACCAUCGUUGCCCGCGACCACUUGGAAGCUACUGCUGGGAACCGUUGCCACUGGUGGUCAGUGAAGAACCCAGUGGUGGUGGUUGGAGAGGUGGUGCUUUGUGGUGGUUGCCGGUGUUGCUAGAAAACAAAUGCAAGAGUAGUUUAGGAAACUAAUAUUUUUGAAAAUUCGAAGUUUUGAACUUUUGGAAAUUUUUGAAUUUGAUUACAAUUUUAAUUGUUAAAAUGUGUUAUGGAAUUUAAUAUUUCAUGUUUUAUUAGGUUGGGAAUUAAUUCAAAAUUAAUUUGAUUAAUUGGAAUUAUUUCCCCAAUUAUUUUCCUAAUUUAGUUAGGAAUAAUGAUGACCUAAUAAGAGUAUUUUUCACCAAAAAUUUUUAGCAUGUAUUUAGUCCCCAAAUUUGUUUGGGUGCUUGACAAAUUAGAUCCAAAAAAUCCAUGAAUGAAUUAUUACUAUAUUUACAUGCUUUCUUUAAAGUUGUUUAAAUUGCAAGAAUGCAUGGUGGAUGGUUGUGGAUAUAAAACCCAAUUUGAUUGUGGAUUUAUGAUUGAAUGGUUGUAUUUAUUUUAAAUAGGGUCUGCGUACCCUGCCUCUCUUAAUUUCUGGUUGUAAUUUCUCUUCUUAUCUAAGUCUCCCGAAUAUAACUCGGGGUUUCUUCUAUACUAUUUGUAAUAAAUAUUAGAUAGAAUAUAGAUGUCUGCAUACCCUGUCUCUCUUAAUUUCUGGUUGUAAUUUCUCUUCUCAUCUAAGUCUCCCGAAUAUAACUCGGGGUUUCUUCUAUACUAUUUGUAAUAAAUAUUAGAUAGAAUAUAGAUGACAGAAAAUUGUAUAAAUAGCAUAGAAAUUGUAACUUGAAAAUGAAGAAAAUGAGCCAUGCAACAAAGAGGGGAUUUUCUCGUGGUUUUCGAUUAAACCCUAGUCAACCACUAAUUUCCCUAAUGGCUGGGGAAAUUAGUUUAGAAGUAUCCACAACCAUCCACAUUUUAAUUUCAUACUUAUAUAUGUUUUUGAAAUGGUUAUAUGCAUGUCUAUUGAUGAGACCAGCAAACAAAUUUUUCAAAACUUUAAUUACAAAAUGUUUUGGAGAAGGAGACAAAUCCCUCAAAUACAAUAUUAAAUCAAUAAUAAAAGUUGCCUUCCAUCAUUAUAGUAUAAAAUCAGAGUAGUUAUUAAGUGCUAGCUUGUUGGGAUUCACCCAAGGCUGCCUUACUUACUAAAUGUUUUUACUAUGAGAAAUGUUCUCAAGAAUGAUGAGUACGAUUUAACUAAAAUUAUGGUUUGUUGGGAUUCACUCAAGACCAUUAAUUUUAGAGGCAAUGGUUGGGUUAAUACAUAAAGAUGUAAAAUCAAGAGUUGAUACCUGACUGAUCUAGAAAUUACAAUUAAUUUGUAAUUGGUAAAGUACCUGCCUUUCAAAAUUAUUUUUAAUUUGUUGGGAUUCACCCAUGGUCAAAAAAAAAUUGAGAUGGGAUUCUAGCCACUAUGGAUUUUAAGAAAAUCCCGAGUCAAUUUAAGAGGGUAAUUGAUUCGAAAAAAAAUAGUGGAAAUAAAAUCAUAAUUUCAAAAUUUUUAUGAUUUUAUUAAACAAAAUUUUUCUCUCUAACAAACUCUAUUUCUGUUGUAGAAUGAGUCACAAUUUGAGCUUUCGUACCAUUCUCACUGAUUGUAAACUUAACGACACAAACUUUCUCGAUUGGCAUCGUAAUGUCCUACUCGUUCUCACUCAUGAAAAAAUUGAAUAUGUGCUUGAUAGGCCCAUGCCCCAGGAACCUGAACCAAAUGCUCCGGCUGCUGCUCGAAAUGCUUACAAGAAGUAUAAGGAUGACAAUAGGGAAGUUUCAUGUAUCAUGGUAGCCUCCAUGACUUCUCAACUUCAGCAGCAGCACAUGAACAUGGGGGCAUAUGAUAUUAUACAACACCUGAGAGAAUAGUUUGAAUAACAAUCAAGGACGGUGAGAUAUGAUACCUCCAAAGAAUUGUUCAGGUGCAAGAUGGCAAAGGGAGCACCUGUUGCUCCACAAGUCUUAAAAAUAAUUGGGCUAAUUGAAAAAUUGGCCGAAUUAGGCUUUAAGAUGAACCAAGAGCUGAAUGUUGAUUUAGUGCUCCAAUCUCUGCCAGAUUCUUUUUCACAGUUUGUUAUGAACUACCAGAUGAAUAAUCUGCAACACACUUUGCCUCAAUUGCUGAAUGUGCUAAAAACUGCAAAGAAAGAAAUAAAGAAAGGGAAGGGUCCCACUAAUGUGCUUGUUGUUUCCUCCUCCAAGAAGAGGAAAAAGUAAGGAAAAGGGUUUAAGAAACCCAUAAACAAGCCUGUCAAGAAGCCCAAGAAGGCCAAGGCAGACCAGUCUAAAGCAACCUGCUUCCAUUGUGGACAAACUGGAUAUUGGAAGAGGAAUUGCAAGGCAUAUCUGGAGAGCCUAAAGCAGAAGAAGCUUGCUGAAGCUUCAUCACCUGGUACAUAUAUGAUUGAGAUUAAUGUAUCUACUUCCGAAUCAGACUCUUGGGUGUUAGAUACCGGAUGUGGUUCUCACAUUUGCAUAUCUUUGCAGGGUCUAAAGGACAGUAGACAACUGGGGAAAGGUGAAAUCACUCUACGUGUUGGCAAUGGAGCAAAAGUUGCUGCUCUAGUUGUAGGGACUUAUUAUAUUGCUUUAACCAGUGGACUGAUUUUAGAAUUAUCAAAUUAUUAUUAUGUUCCAGCACUUACUACGAACAUCAUUCUAUUUCCUGUUUGGAUUUGAAUGGGUUUAGGAUAACCCAGGAGAAUAAAUGUUGUUCUUUCUUUAAAAAUGAUGUGUUUUAUGGUUCUAGAAAUUGGAAUAAUGGUUUAUAUAUUCUAAAUCUGGAUAACCAAAUUCUCAAUGUGAAUAAAAAGAGAACGAGAUUAGAUAAACUAAACAAGGCACUAUAGACUUGGUUAUGUAAAUGAGAAACGCAUUUCCAAAAUUACACAAAGGUGGAUACUUGGACUCAUUUGAAUAUGAAUCAUAUGAUAUAUGUGAAGCUUGUUUACUUAGAAGAAUGACAAAAAUGCCCUUUACUGGAAAGAGAGAACGGGCUAGUGAUUUACUUGGGCUAGUACAUACUGAUGUAUGUGGUCCAAUGUCAAUUACAGCUAGAGGUGGAUGUUCAUACUUCAUUACCUUCACAGAUGAUCAUUCUAGAUAUGAUUAUGUGUAUUAAUGAAAUACAAAUCUGAAUCUUUUGAAGAAUUUAAAGAAUUCAAAAAUGAAGUAGAGAAACAAACAGGUAAAGGUGUUAUGACACUACGAUCCGAUCGUGAUGGAGAAUACUUAAGUGAUGAGUUUCGAGUUUAUUUGAAGGAUAAUGGAAUAGUUCCACAAUAGACUCCUCCAGGUACACCACAGCUAAAUGAUGUGUCUGAAAGGAGAAACUAAAUCCUAUUAGAUAUGGUACAGUCCAUGAUGAGCCACUCGAGUGCCCCAAAAUCGUUUUGGGAUAUGCAUUGGAUAUUGCCUCCCAUACUCUUAAUCGAGUACCCACCAAGGUUGUUGACUCAACUCCAUAUGAAAUAUGGAAAGGGAAGAAACCAAAUCUAUCCUACAUGAAAGUUUGGGGCUGCCCAGCUUAUGUGAAGUUGGUAGAAUCGGAUAAACUUGAUGCUAGAUCUGAUAAGUGUUUGUUUGUAGGGUAUCCAAGAGAGUCUAUAGGGUACUAUUUCUACAACCCAAUUGAGCAAAAGGUGUUUGUCUCAAAACAUGUUAUUUUUCUAGAAAGAGAGUUUAUUCUAGAAAGAGACAGUGGGAGUAGAAUAGAUCUUGAAGAAAUUCAAGAUCAUCAAACAAACAUUGAGCAACCUGUUGAAGAACAACUUCAGCCACAUAAUGUUGGUGCGCAUACAGAAGCUGUGGAUAUACAAGGGCCCCGUAGGUCAGUAAGGGUACGCUCAGCUCCCAAGAGAUAUGAAUUUCUUAUGAGUCAAAGCAAUGAUAUACUAGUCAUUCAAGAUGACGAACCUACUACCUACCAAGAAGUGUUGGAUAGUCCAGACUCCUCCAAAUGGUUGGAAGCCAUGAAUUCCGAAAUGAAUUCCAUGUACGACAACAAGGUAUGGACCUUGGUUGAUCCACCUGAAGGGAUAAAACCUGUAGGGUGUAAUGGGUCUUCAAAAAGAAGACAGACAUGGAAGGAAAUGUGAUUAUCUAUAAAGCUAAACUGGUAGCCAAAGGCUACAAGCAGAAAGAGGGAAUCGAUUAUGAUGAAACUUUCUCACUAGUAGCAAUGCUUAAGUCCAUUCGGAUAUUGCUUGCAAUUGUGGCAUAUCAUGACUAUGAGAUUUGGCAGAUGGAUGUAAAAACUGCAUUCUUUAAUGGAAAUUUGGAGGAAGAUGUGUACAUGACACAACCUGAAGGUUUUACAUCUUCAAAUCCUAGUCAAAUAUGUAAGCUACACAGGUCCAUUUAUGGACUUAAGCAAGCAUUUAGGAGUUGGAACAUCCGAUUCAAUGAGACAAUCAAAGAGUUUGGAUUUCUCAAGAAUCCGGAUGAACCUUGUGUAUACAAGAAUGCUAGUGGGAGUUCAAUCGUUUUUCUUAUACUAUAUGUGGAUGACAUAUUAAUAAUGGGAAACGAUAUACCAAUGUUACAAUCCAUAAAAGGCUGGUUGUCAAAGAACUUUUCCAUGAAAGAUUUAGGAGAAGCAACCUAUAUAUUAGGCAUUAAAAUCUAUAGAGAUAGAUAUUAAAGGCUGCUUGGUCUUGCAUAAUCUACACACAUAGAUAAAGUGCUAAAGAGGUUUAGCAUGGAUCAGUCCAAGAAGGGCUUUGUACCUAUGACUCAUGGUAUAAGCCUUUCUAAGAGAAUGUGUCCUAAGACACAAGUUGAGACUAAUAAAACGCAUACUGUUCCAUAUGCUUCAACAAUAGGAUCAAUUAUGUAUGCUAUGUUGUGCACAAGACCUGAUAUCUCAUAUGCUCUGAGUGUUACGAGCAGAUGCCAGGCUAAUCCAGGUGAGGGUCACUGGACAGCCGUUAAGAACAUUCUUAAGUACUUGAGAAGGACUAAAGAUUUGUUUUUAGUACAUGGAAAAGGUGAGUUGGAGCUUAAGGGCUAUUGAUGCGAGUUUUCAGUCGGACAAAGAUGACUAUAAGUCGCAGUCAGGUUUCAUUUUUACUCUUAAUGGAGGUGUUGUAUGUUGGAAAAGUUCUAAACAGGACACCACAGCAGAUUAUACAACAGAGGCUGAAUACAUUGCAGCCUCGGAAGCAGCUAAGGAAGCCGUUUGGAUUAAAAAGUUCGUGACAGAACUUGGUGUGGUUCCAACCAUUGUUGAUCCAGUUACUAUGUACUGUGAUAACAAUGGAGCUAUUGCUCAAGCAAAGGAACCUAGGUUUCAUCAGCGAUCCAAACAUGUACUUAGAAGAUUUCACUUAAUUAGAGAAAUCAUUGCCAGAAAUGACGUAAAGGUAGAGAGAGUCCCCACAGAGAAUAACAUAGCUGAUCCUCUCACUAAAGUUGAAACAUGAAGGUCAUGUAUUAUCAUUUGGACUGAAUGUCAUGAAUGAAAUGUUUUAGUGCAAGUGGGAGAUUGUUCGAAUGUAUGCCCUUAAACAAUGAUUUUGUUUAAUACAUUCCUUAUUAUGUUUUGUAUUUUAAUAAUUUCUUCUUUAUCUGUUAAAUGCUAGAUAUAACUGAUAAAGUCCUUAGAAUACUUACUAAUGUGAUGGUGGUCACAAGUGUUGAUGACUAUGAGAUAUCAAUCACAUUUAUAGUAAUAUUCUUAAAUUUCCCUAGUCAUAGUACUAAUGAGAUAGAACAUCAUUAGUAUGGAUAGACUAGUACACAAUUAGUCUCUACUUAAUGUAAGUAGUGGUUGUUCUCAUCAACCAUGGUAUAUAGAUACCUAGAAUAAUGUGUAGAUGAUUUGUAAAGUACAAAUGCAUUGGAAUGAUCCGCUUAGAGAUCCCAUUAGGAUAUCUAUCUAGUGCCAAUGGUUGUAUCUCUUGUGGUAAGUUAUGUAAAUGAUCCUACGACUUGAGAUCACCAUAGUAUCUUGAGUGUGAAUCACUACAUUUUGACUCUAUUGCUUGUUACUCAUUAAGAGUGACUUAUAAAACAGAGAUUGGGUGUAGUGUGAAGCACGGAAAGGUAAUGAGUGAUCAAGAUGGGAUUCACCACUCCGAUAGUAGGAGUUGAUAUCCGGAUGGCCACUAGUAGGAAAUGAACCCUAAAAGGUCGACUACAUUAGGUCAAUUGAAGAAUAUCUUCAAGUUAACCUAAUCUAGGGUUAAUUCUGGAAACUAGUAAAUUUAAUUAUCCAUUAAGGAAUUGGCACUUAUUCCUUAUUCAUUGACUAAUUGGAUAUCGGUGGUGAAAGGAUAAUAAUUACAUGGUAACUUCUCCUGGAAAUGUUAGGUCAAAAUUCCCUUGACUAAUUCCGGGUACUUGGGUGGUCAUAAUGUGUUGUUAGACACCGCUCAUGAUUUAUAAUUAUGAAUUAAUUAAUUAUUGUAAUUAAUGAUAAAAUAAAGUUGUUUAUUUUAUCUAAUUCUUUUUGGGAAUUAUAAGUCAUAAUUAUUGCCAAUGUAUUUGGAGCCUAUUGGAUCCCACGCAUUAGAGUUUUGAAUUUGGAUUAAAAUUAUGUGUCCAAGUGAAGACUUGAAAAUAAAGUAUAAGAUACUUUCGGGAUUUAAUUACAAAGAAAAUAAAUUCCAGACCUAUUUGAGCAUAUAGGAGAAAAUAGUUAUCUCCUAUCUACCAGAUAGCUGAAGGAUAGAGUUUGUUAUUGGAUAAAAAAUCUAUCUCUUCCUUUUUCUUUUUUCUACAAAUCUUCUCUCUAUUAGAAGGAUGAAAAACCUAUGACUCUCGAAAAGGGAAAAAUAGGGUUUUGGUAUACAUAGAGAGUGGAGGAAAAAAGAUGUGUAAGACAUACAUAGAGAGAAAAUAUAGACAAGGAAAAGUGAAAAGAAAGGCUAGCAACUUUCAUCACUUUCACACAUAUAUCGUAGAGACGAUCCAGAUAUCACUCUCGCGUAGAUUUUGGUAGAGGCAGAACAUCUGGACUGUUCAAGGGGUUGUUCGUCUUCUCUAAUUCGGCAGAGGAUUGUCAUGCGGAUUAAGGUAAUCCGUUUUUCCCUCUCUUCUUGAACCAUACACAAAAUCUAGGGUGAUCCUUGAGUGGGUUUUUGGGAAUUUUUUUUUAAAUUUCCCGCUGCCUUUCUGUCCCAAAAACCUAACACCUGGGCAGAGCUUCGUGGAGGUGGGCAGUUUUUCUAAACCCAUUCGUUUCGCCAAACGAGUUUUCUAUUCUUCCUCGGACUUCUCCUUCGCCAGAGAAUCAACCAUCACUGUUACUCUAACAGCUUUUGCUUCCACCAGUUGUAGACAGUGUCGGUUCCCACUCCUUCCUACCGACAACCACUGCGUCUAUUGGUCCCUCCUUCUCGGAAUUAUCCGGUCGGUCGAUUUCCAAGUUCGGCAGCUAGGGCUUAAUCCUUAGUGCAACAAUAGCAGACAGAAAGAUUGGGAGUGUUUUGCUAUCUAUGCUCAAAAUAAAGUGGGAGACCAAAAUGACAUUGUUUCAUUACUUGCUUCAACAGUGGCAUACAAGAGUUUUUGAGGUUUUUGGGGUUCUUGUAGUUUAAGUUGUUAAAAAACUUGUAAAAAAAAUACUUGGUAAAAAAACUCACUUACCAAACGAGAUCCUUGGUAUAUCCAUUAAGGCCUUGUUUGGCUCUAGGGAUUCAUUGAGGAAAGGAAAGUGUGAAAAUGUUAAUUCCUUGAAAUCCCUAACCAUUUCUUUUGUUUGGAUGACAAAUAAAAGUAUUAGGGAAAUGGAACAAGAUUCAAAGGAAGUAAUUCCUUUGAAGAAAAUGGAAAUGAAAAAUAAAACUACAAAACACAAUGCAUUUCAACUAAGCAAUAACCAAUUACAUUGAACAUUCAACAAUUUGGUCAUUUGAGCAUUUGGAAAUUGAGUUACAGCUACAAAGAUUUUGACUUUCUUAGUUGUUUUACCAUCCCAUACCAAUUCUCUUACAAAUUAAUUUUCUAGACAUCAUAUAAACAUAAGAAUUGGUAUAUACUCACGUACAAAAAUGCAUUCAGAGCAAAAAUGCAUUCACGUAGAAAUUAAUUUUCAAGAUGGAUGGACAUACAAAAAUAAUUCAGUGCAAAUACAGUAACGCUCAGCUUUUCAAAUGCAUUAAUCACGUCUAUUUUCUAAGUCC
Molecule: long non-coding RNA, 30655 nt
Filed under: Coffea arabica (coffee)
Lineage: Eukaryota; Viridiplantae; Streptophyta; Magnoliopsida; Gentianales; Rubiaceae
Description: long non-coding RNA (CARA_LNC006553)
Source: RNAcentral